AUGCCGGGGUACCUGACGGCGGUCCGGGAGUCGGAGAACAUGCCGCAGCCGCCCCCGCUCGUCCAGGAGUACAUGCAGCUCGCCCCGGUCGCCGUCCACCCGGAGGACCCGCCGGACUUCCCCGGGUAUCACGCCGCGGUCGAGGACUCGAUGGCCGCGCCCGCGGCGCCCGUGGUACCCCUCGACAACGACAGCAGCAGCAACGACAGUGAUGACGGCGACGGGCUCUAUGACGAGGCAGACUUCGGCGGCGUCGAGGACGAGUAG
RNAcentral lists this ribosomal RNA (267 nucleotides) under Triticum aestivum (bread wheat). Its description in RNAcentral is "partial small subunit ribosomal RNA". Lineage: Eukaryota; Viridiplantae; Streptophyta; Magnoliopsida; Poales; Poaceae. The record is from RNAcentral.